This 1236-nucleotide long non-coding RNA is filed under the name Medicago truncatula (barrel medic). RNAcentral's name for it is "long non-coding RNA (MTRU_LNC003081)". The record is from RNAcentral. Lineage: Eukaryota; Viridiplantae; Streptophyta; Magnoliopsida; Fabales; Fabaceae.
UAAGAAAUGUCAGGGAAAGAAGAAAAUAUAGUUACCCUUGUUUAAAAGACCUAAAUUUGCAUUGCAUGAGUGUUGGAAGUAAUCAGUAUAUUUUCCUUAUAAAAUUUAAGGGUCUGUUUGGUUUCAAUGUUUUAUGUUUUCGCUUUUAAUUACAAAAUUGUUAUCUUGUUUUCAAUUGGUUCCUGUUUAGUUACAUGAUAUACUAUAUAUGUGUUGUAUUGUUAACAAGUUAGUUCUUAUCAUAAAACCUAUGCAGUUACAUAACUAUCUUCCCCUUCACACCAUUUAUGUGUUGUCUGUCCCAGCUCAUGUUUAUGAUGAUAUAAUUAUGAAUAAACUUCUACCAAGAUUUUACCUGCAUCAACUUGAUUCCCUUAAUCUAAUCCAACGUGGCAAUUAUGUUAAUCACGGUAAUUUUUAUGAUGAAAUCUUAAGCUCAAUGCAUAGGCUCCAGGUAUUUACCAAAUUAUUACUAUUUUCACCACUAACUACUGCUGAAGUAUCCCCACGACAACUACUGAAGUUGAUCUAAUAACAAAACAUUUUGAAAGUUUUGCUGCUGAAUGCUGGAUUAAGGUUAAUGUCAAUGUUGUCAAUUGCGGAAAAGAGCAGUUUGUUCAAAUUCCACUAUGCUACAGUGUUGUAGCACCACUAUUUAACAAUACUUUGUCCUAAAUAGCGCAUCACGGAAUAAUAGUGAUCUUUUAAACAUCUGCUGUUCUAUAACGCUACUACUUGACAAUGUUGGUUGAUGUCAUAUAAAUGUUGAGAACUACUAAAAGUACUGCCGCUGUUGCAACUUUUAUGCUAGAUAGCUUUGGUCAUAUCCCCAAUUUGUCAUAUUAUUACUAUCAUAAUCAGAAUAUUUAUCACUAUUACUGCUAUAAUUUCACCAUUGAAUUUUAGUUAUUUGAUCUCCAAGGUGCUUAUGUAACUUACACUUUCUGAAAAUUGUGGACUUGGAAUUCCUGCAGCUAAGGAUCUGAACAUAGGGGUAACUUGAAGAGGGGAACUGAACUCUGCACUUGACAAGGAACAAACAAUGCCAUCAUUGUUUAUCUGUUCUUCACAAGAUGAGAAUAUAUCUGCUACAAAAAGAUAAAUAUCUAAUUAGCAAUUCUGAUUCGUUGAGAUUUGAGACGUUAGCAAAUUAGCAUAUAAAAGAUUUUAUCUUUUGAGGAAGUUGAAAUUUUUUGGUCUAAGUAUUAAAAAGUAAAAAAUGAAAACAGUUGAACC